Long non-coding RNA from Chrysemys picta bellii (western painted turtle), 1754 nucleotides. RefSeq lists it as uncharacterized. NCBI's taxonomy places the organism in Eukaryota, Metazoa, Chordata, Testudines, Emydidae. The record is from RefSeq and is a predicted model, not a curated record.
AAGAGCAAAUGGUUGCUUUUUCCUGUUGUGAUGUUUUCAAGAGCUGGUCUAAUUUUUCCUCACACAGCUAGUUUUCAUUACUGCUUUCAGAUGAUAAUGGGAUUGCCUCAUUCCAUGAAUCCACAGAACUGAAUUUGCUUUUGUAAAGAUAGCCUAGAGCAUUAGGUUCACAUAAGACUAAGUUUCAGAAACAGACAGAACUAAAAAUAUCUGUAAACAUGCUGUAAACAUGGGGCCUAGUCUUGCUCACAAUGAAGUCAAUGACAAACUUCUAUUGACUUCAGUGGGAUCAGGAUCAGGCAUUGUUACUAUGGUAUAAUAAAAGCUAAGCCCUUGUCAUGGUAUUCCUUUUUGUUCAAAAUAAACGAACAAAAAUAAAUCAAAUUGUAGCUCCGUGAUCUCUCAACACCCCUGUCAAUGAAUUACUUUUAUUGAUACAGGCAGAACUAACUUUGUGUAAACUCCCCUCAGAAAUAGAAAUUCUAAAGCAGGAGCCAGCAACUCCCAACUUAUUCUGUAUUCAAUCUUGGUUUGCAUUUAUUCACUGAAAGUUCCUCACACACAUAUUUAAACUAAAUAAAGUAUUAUCCUAAGCUCAGCAAGUCACAGGCCAAAUUUAUCCGGGUAUUUGACAUCAGUGAAGUUUUGCUAGGGAUGAAUCAGGCUCAUGCAUCUACACUCCCAUUUUUUCAACUGUUAAGUAGAUUUUUCAUGUGCAAAUGGGUCAUUCUUGGAGCAAACUUCCGCCUUUGAAUGAGUUUACACUAUUCCCAUAAAUGGGAGAUAUCUGGGCCCAUAAUUUGAUCUUGUGUUUGACCCUACAGAGAAGUUGGUAUAUAGGGGGUUAAUUCUCUCCUCUGGAUUAAGAAGAAGGGCCACUGAUGCCGGCCCUGAGUGCAGGGAAUUGCAAGGUGGCUGGGCUGGGCUGCUGCAUAGAAUUAGUGGACUACAAGAGGGCUAUGCUGCAGGAAGGCAGGAGUGGAACCUGGCAGUGAGAAGGAGAGCGGGAAACCCUCUAAGAAAAGGGAAGGAGCUGAGCAGGGAAGCAGCAGCAGGGUUUCUCACUCCCUGGGGCGGCUUACAGUGUUUGCUUGAGACACCACAUGUGUGGAGCUUGCAGGGAAAAGCUUAAGUGUUUUGCUGACUUGCUGAGGACAGCAUGACAUCACCAACGCUGCAAAGUACCGGUUGCUGAUCACCCUGCUCUCCCACUGACUUCAGUAGGGGAAGGGCCUUUCAGAGUGAACCAUGGUGAACAUGAGAAAAAGAGGCCCUUGAAUAUUUCUGGAGGUCAAAUAAUCAGUUUAGUAAAAGAACACAAAUUCUUAUUCAUUCCAGGGUUCUCUCUGGAAACCCAAGGAGUAUUAUUGUUUGUCAUCAUAUAAUUGCGAAUUCUAAAAUGCUAUUGGAGCAGAGCAGGUGAUUCUCGCUGCUAUCAUAAAUUGGGAAAAGCCUGGAGACUCUGCUGCAAAUAAACUGAAACAUGUUUUGUAAGCAGAUGAAAAGAGGGUUUAUCUGAUGGCAUCAAGACUUACGUUUAAUAUUUCAUUAUACUGUAGAACAGGGGUGGGCAAACUAUGGCUCGGGGGCUGCAUCCGGCCCUUCAGACAUUUCAAUCUGGCCCUCGAGCUACAGCACCCAGGGCUUGCCCCGCUCCUGCCAGGGAGCAGGAUUGGGGGCUUGCCUGGCUCCAUGCAUGCCAGGUCUCCGGGUGGCUCCUGGAAGCAGCAGCAUGUCCCUCCUCCACCUCCUAC